This 281-nucleotide ribosomal RNA is filed under the name uncultured Glomus. Its description in RNAcentral is "partial 18S small subunit ribosomal RNA". It matches the Rfam family "Eukaryotic small subunit ribosomal RNA", at positions 591 to 876 of the family's 1831-position model. The record is from RNAcentral. Lineage: Eukaryota; Fungi; Glomeromycota; Glomeromycetes; Glomerales; Glomeraceae.
CCAAUAGCGUAUAUUAAAGUUGUUGCAGUUAAAAAGCUCGUAGUUGAAUUUCGGGGUUAGUAGGUUGGUCAUGCCUCUGGUAUGUACUGGUCUCACUGAUUCCUCCUUCCUGAUGAGCCGUAAUGCCAUUAAUUUGGUGUUGCGGGGAAUUUGGACUGUUACUUUGAAAAAAUUAGAGUGUUUAAAGCAAGCUAACGCUUGAAUACAUUAGCAUGGAAUAAUGAAAUAGGACGUUCGAUCCUAUUUUGUUGGUUUCUAGGAUUGACGUAAUGAUUAAUAGG